Mastomys coucha (southern multimammate mouse) is the source of this 488-nucleotide long non-coding RNA. RefSeq lists it as uncharacterized. The record is from RefSeq and is a predicted model, not a curated record. NCBI's taxonomy places the organism in Eukaryota, Metazoa, Chordata, Mammalia, Rodentia, Muridae. The transcript is spliced from 2 exons.
ACAUGAGCUCUCUCCUUCUCCUGGAGCCACCGUUCUCACCUGCUGCCAUGCCUUCCCACCAUGAUGUGAUGGACUCAUCCCUCCGGAACCAUAAACCCAAUUAAACCUUUCUGCUUCAUGUGGAAGUAAUAAGGGUAUUAGUGCCCUCUGAAAACAGAUGCAGUUAUCCAACAAAAGUAGAUGAAGAAGUAAAAAAGAGUGAAGAAUAAAAUCGUGAGAAAUGAGAGCUAAAAAUGCAAAAAUAUACAAUGGGAAACACAGAGGAAUAACGACAGAAGAACCUCAAGAAAACGGAAGAAAACAUCGAGAAGGAACUUAAGAGCAAGUGAAAUGCAACAACAAGGCCAAGUAGAUCUAAAAAUGAAAAAGCCGCCAAAUCAUUUGGAAUUAAACGGCAGACAGUUGUACAUGUCUGAAUGAUUUAGUGUAGGGGAAGUAUAUACAUUUCAGAAAUAAUCAAAAUAUCGAGUUUUAUAUUUAUACACGUA